CACCAUGGAUUGGUGGAACGGGUACAACGAGACCCUCGCAGAAUGGUGUCCCCACUCCGCCGAUACCCCCGCCACAUUGACAGUUCUCCCUAUAGCCCUGCCUACUUAUCUCCUCCCCCUGAGUCUGGCUGGCGAAGGUGAGUCGAGAGCAGGUAGAAUUUCUCCCCCUUAGUCUCUGACAUGUUCCAGAGUGGCUGAGGUGGGCUAGGUACUGGGCUAAGGUAUCAAAAGUACCUCCUCCUGUAAAGGCCAAGCUGGGAGGGUGGGGCAGCUGGGUAGGUGGUCAGAGUCCAGACUUGGCCAUGUUGACACGAGUGGCCAAGCCUCUUAAUUCAGCAAGCAGAACCAAUGGAAUUGUAGCCAAGCUGGGGUGUGUAUAAGUGGGGGGAGGGGAGAGUGGCAGGGUGGCAGGUGAAAAUGGCUCCUUUUUCAUAGUAGUGGAUGCCAGGUGUAAUGCUGUAACCCUGUCAGGUGUUUGAGCCCCUCCUUUUCCCAUCUCAGCUCCAAUAUUUGUGUCCAGGAAACUUGCUAGGCUUCAGUGUUUCCACUCAGCUUGUGUUGCCAGAGAGGAGUUUCUGUAUCCAGUUCUUAGAUUGAGCAGGGGUGGGAGGCUCAUGGAUCAAAGGCAUCAGAAGAGCCAGAAAGAGGCAGGAUCCUGGGUACUAAGGCCUUUGUGUAUCCACCCUGGCUGCUGUACAUUUUUCCUACCCCCUUGCCUUUCUCGUCCAUUGCCAGCGCCUUCUUCCUCCUGAUAACAUUUCUAUCCUAGGAUGAUGCCCUGGGGCAACCUCCCAGCUGAGAAGGGGCAGUUGUUUAGACUGCCAUCUGCACUUAACAGGUGACGGUCCUUGAUUUCUUUAGUCCACAUCUCUUCCUUGUACUUUCUGGGGCCCUAUUCUAUCUACUCUACCCCCCAGUUCUGGACCAGUUUGAAUACCCCACUGCUGGGCAGUGUUUGGUACCUGGAAGACUAUUACUGCUACUCAUUUCUGCUCCUCCAACAGGACAAGCUCUGACUCUGCUCUUCACACAAGUGUGAUGAACCCUAACCCCCAAGACACUUAUCCAGGCCCUACACCUCCCAGUGUCCUGCCCAGCCGGCGAGGAGGUUUUCUGGAUGGCGAGAUGGAUGCUAAAGUCCCUGCUAUUGAGGAGAACUUGGUAGAUGACAAGCAUUUGCUGAAACCUUGGGAUGCUAAGAAGCUGUCCUCAUCUUCCUCUC
This 1222-nucleotide long non-coding RNA is filed under the name Rattus norvegicus (Norway rat). RNAcentral describes it as "long non-coding RNA NONRATT015483". Lineage: Eukaryota; Metazoa; Chordata; Mammalia; Rodentia; Muridae. The record is from RNAcentral.